RNAcentral lists this ribosomal RNA (230 nucleotides) under uncultured bacterium. RNAcentral's name for it is "partial 16S ribosomal RNA". It matches the Rfam family "Bacterial small subunit ribosomal RNA", at positions 562 to 791 of the family's 1533-position model. The record is from RNAcentral.
AAAGCGUGCGCAGGCGGUUAUACAAGACAGGCGUGAAAUCCCCGGGCUUAACCUGGGAAUGGCGUCUGUGACUGUAUGACUAGAGUGUGUCAGAGGGGGGUAGAAUUCCACGUGUAGCAGUGAAAUGCGUAGAUAUGUGGAGGAAUACCAAUGGCGAAGGCAGCCCCCUGGGAUAACACUGACGCUCAUGCACGAAAGCGUGGGGAGCAAACAGGAUUAGAUACCCUUGU